GGUUGACCUCGGAUCAGGUAGGGAUACCCGCUGAACUUAAGCAUAUCAAUAAGCGGAGGAAUA
Molecule: ribosomal RNA, 63 nt
Filed under: Penicillium chermesinum
Lineage: Eukaryota; Fungi; Ascomycota; Eurotiomycetes; Eurotiales; Aspergillaceae
Description: partial 28S ribosomal RNA
Rfam family: Eukaryotic large subunit ribosomal RNA
Source: RNAcentral